AAAAAAAUAAGCUAACAAAAGCUUUUGGGCUCAUACUUCAAAAAUAAAGGUUAAUACCUUUUUUUUAA
RNAcentral lists this transfer RNA (68 nucleotides) under Thitarodes sejilaensis. Its description in RNAcentral is "tRNA-Met". Lineage: Eukaryota; Metazoa; Arthropoda; Insecta; Lepidoptera; Hepialidae. The record is from RNAcentral.